CCUACGGGUGGCUGCAGUGAGGAAUAUUGGUCAAUGGACGAGAGUCUGAACCAGCCAAGUAGCGUGAAGGAUGACUGCCCUAUGGGUUGUAAACUUCUUUUAUAUGGGAAUAAAAUGUUCCACGUGUGGGAUUUUGUAUGUACCAUAUGAAUAAGGAUCGGCUAACUCCGUGCCAGCAGCCGCGGUAAUACGGAGGAUCCGAGCGUUAUCCGGAUUUAUUGGGUUUAAAGGGAGCGUAGGUGGAUUGUUAAGUCAGUUGUGAAAGUUUGCGGCUCAACCGUAAAAUUGCAGUUGAAACUGGCAGUCUUGAGUACAGUAGAGGUGGGCGGAAUGCGUGGUGUAGCGGUGAAAUGCUUAGAGAUCAUGAAGAACUCCGAUUGCGAAGGCAGUUCACUGGACUGCAACUGACACUGAGGCUCGAAAGUGUGGGUAUCAAACAGGAUUAGAUACCCGGGUAGUC
Molecule: ribosomal RNA, 460 nt
Filed under: uncultured bacterium
Lineage: Bacteria
Description: partial 16S ribosomal RNA
Rfam family: Bacterial small subunit ribosomal RNA
Source: RNAcentral